RNAcentral lists this ribosomal RNA (953 nucleotides) under Pseudomonas sp. CFBP 13727. Its description in RNAcentral is "partial 23S ribosomal RNA". It matches the Rfam family "Bacterial large subunit ribosomal RNA", at positions 593 to 1550 of the family's 2925-position model. The record is from RNAcentral. Lineage: Bacteria; Pseudomonadati; Pseudomonadota; Gammaproteobacteria; Pseudomonadales; Pseudomonadaceae.
GUGACUGCGUACCUUUUGUAUAAUGGGUCAGCGACUUAUAUUCAGUGGCGAGCUUAACCGAAUAGGGGAGGCGUAGCGAAAGCGAGUGUUAAUAGCGCGUUUAGUCGCUGGGUAUAGACCCGAAACCGGGCGAUCUAUCCAUGGGCAGGUUGAAGGUUGGGUAACACUAACUGGAGGACCGAACCGACUACCGUUGAAAAGUUAGCGGAUGACCUGUGGAUCGGAGUGAAAGGCUAAUCAAGCUCGGAGAUAGCUGGUUCUCCUCGAAAGCUAUUUAGGUAGCGCCUCAUGUAUCACUGUAGGGGGUAGAGCACUGUUUCGGCUAGGGGGUCAUCCCGACUUACCAAACCGAUGCAAACUCCGAAUACCUACAAGUGCCGAGCAUGGGAGACACACGGCGGGUGCUAACGUCCGUCGUGAAAAGGGAAACAACCCAGACCGUCAGCUAAGGUCCCAAAAUCCUGGUUAAGUGGGAAACGAUGUGGGAAGGCUUAGACAGCUAGGAGGUUGGCUUAGAAGCAGCCACCCUUUAAAGAAAGCGUAAUAGCUCACUAGUCGAGUCGGCCUGCGCGGAAGAUGUAACGGGGCUCAAACCAGGUACCGAAGCUACGGGUAUCACCUUAGGGUGAUGCGGUAGAGGAGCGUUCUGUAAGCCUGUGAAGGUGAGUUGAGAAGCUUGCUGGAGGUAUCAGAAGUGCGAAUGCUGACAUGAGUAACGACAAUGGGUGUGAAAAACACCCACGCCGAAAGACCAAGGUUUCCUGCGCAACGUUAAUCGACGCAGGGUUAGUCGGUCCCUAAGGCGAGGCUGAAAAGCGUAGUCGAUGGAAAACAGGUUAAUAUUCCUGUACUUCUGGUUAUUGCGAUGGAGGGACGGAGAAGGCUAGGCCAGCUUGGCGUUGGUUGUCCAAGUUUAAGGUGGUAGGCUGAGAUCUUAGGUAAAUCCGGGAUCU